UGGGCGUUAAGUUGCAGGGUAUAGACCCGAAACCCGGUGAUCUAGCCAUGGGCAGGUUGAAGGUUGGGUAACACUAACUGGAGGACCGAACCGACUAAUGUUGAAAAAUUAGCGGAUGACCUGUGGCUGGGGGUGAAAGGCCAAUCAAACCGGGAGAUAGCUGGUUCUCCCCGAAAGCUAUUUAGGUAGCGCCUCGUGAAUUCAUCUCCGGGGGUAGAGCACUGUUUCGGCUAGGGGGCCAUCCCGGCUUACCAACCCGAUGCAAACUGCGAAUACCGGAGAAUGUUAUCACGGGAGACACACGGCGGGUGCUAACGUCCGUCGUGAAGAGGGAAACAACCCAGACCGCCAGCUAAGGUCCCAAAGUCAUGGUUAAGUGGGAAACGAUGUGGGAAGGCCCAGACAGCCAGGAUGUUGGCUUAGAAGCAGCCAUCAUUUAAAGAAAGCGUAAUAGCUCACUGGUCGAGUCGGCCUGCGCGGAAGAUGUAACGGGGCUAAACCAUGCACCGAAGCUGCGGCAGCGACGCUGAUGCGUUGUUGGGUAGGGGAGCGUUCUGUAAGCCUGUGAAGGUGGCCUGUGAGGGUUGCUGGAGGUAUCAGAAGUGCGAAUGCUGACAUAAGUAACGAUAAAGCGGGUGAAAAGCCCGCUCGCCGGAAGACCAAGGGUUCCUGUCCAACGUUAAUCGGGGCAGGGUGAGUCGACCCCUAAGGCGAGGCCGAAAGGCGUAGUCGAUGGGAAACGGGUUAAUAUUCCCGUACUUGGUGUUACUGCGAAGGGGGGACGGAGAAGGCUAUGUUGGCCGGGCGACGGUUGUCCCGGUUUAAGCGUGUAGGUGUGUGUUCCAGGUAAAUCCGGUUCACUUUAACACUGAGGCGUGAUG
This 881-nucleotide ribosomal RNA is filed under the name Salmonella enterica. RNAcentral describes it as "partial 23S ribosomal RNA". It matches the Rfam family "Bacterial large subunit ribosomal RNA", at positions 689 to 1568 of the family's 2925-position model. Lineage: Bacteria; Pseudomonadati; Pseudomonadota; Gammaproteobacteria; Enterobacterales; Enterobacteriaceae. The record is from RNAcentral.